UCGGGAAUUUUGGGCAAUGGGCGAAAGCCUGACCCAGCAACGCCGCGUGAGGGAUGAAGUAUUUCGGUAUGUAAACCUCGAAAGAAUGGGAAGAAUAAAUGACGGUACCAUUUAUAAGCUCCGGCUAACUACGUGCCAGCAGCCGCGGUAAUACGUAGGGAGCAAGCGUUGUUCGGAUUUACUGGGCGUAAAGGGUGCGCAGGCGGUCUUGCAAGUCAGAUGUGAAAGCCCCGGGCUUAACCUGGGAAUUGCGUUUGAAACUACAAGGCUAGAGUGCAGCAGAGGGGAGUGGAAUUCCAUGUGUAGCAGUGAAAUGCGUAGAGAUGUGGAAGAACACCGGUGGCGAAGGCGGCAUCCUGGACCGGCAUUGACGCUGAGGCGCGAAAGCCA
This 390-nucleotide ribosomal RNA is filed under the name uncultured bacterium. Its description in RNAcentral is "bacterial SSU rRNA". It matches the Rfam family "Bacterial small subunit ribosomal RNA", at positions 355 to 762 of the family's 1533-position model. The record is from RNAcentral.